GGAAGAUAGACAAUAAACACCAUAAAAAGGUAUCAAGGAGCAUUCAGUGACUCCUCCCCUCUUGAAGAAUAAAAGCUGAUGAAAAGAAGGCCAGCCUCUGCUCAUGAAGUCUCCCUCUCCUGAGUCCUUUGGAUUGCAAUAAUCAGAGUCUUGUUCUCUCGCCCAGGCUAG
Long non-coding RNA from Pongo pygmaeus (Bornean orangutan), 171 nucleotides. RefSeq lists it as uncharacterized. Lineage: Eukaryota; Metazoa; Chordata; Mammalia; Primates; Hominidae. The record is from RefSeq and is a predicted model, not a curated record. The transcript is spliced from 4 exons.